This is a long non-coding RNA of Mauremys reevesii (Reeves's turtle), 1556 nucleotides long. RefSeq lists it as uncharacterized. The transcript is spliced from 6 exons. The record is from RefSeq and is a predicted model, not a curated record. NCBI's taxonomy places the organism in Eukaryota, Metazoa, Chordata, Testudines, Geoemydidae.
CUCCCCCGGUGCAGCGCAACGCCGCGCGGCCUCUCCCCCGCCACGUGACCCACGGAGCGCGCGCGCCGCCGAGCGCCGUUCCACGCGACCCGGCGCGCCCUUCCACCCGCUCUCCCUCCACGUGACGGAGGGAGACAAAGACGCUCCCUCGGCACGUGACCAAGGUUUCCCAGCGAGGCGGGGAGCGGGAAGGGGAGUUGGCCCUGCCCACAGAAGGGGAGGUGCUUAGCUCCUCCGGGGGCGGGGCUUCGCGUUCCAGGCGGAACAGCCCUGACUGUUACCUUUUUGGAAAGAUCAACAAUUUGAAACUUCACUUCAAAGUUUUCUUACCACUGCCUCGUUCUCUGGAACAGACGGAUUUAACAUUGUGGGAAGGUUGCCUUGGAUCCAGAAAGGAGACAUGUGCCUGAGAUCCUACUGCAUACACUGACCACUCCUGACCAUAGGCCAGACACACAUUCUCCCUGCAAUACGGCAACUUGGUGGACAGUAGCUGGAAAUAAACGGAGAAACAAGUCAACUGAAAAAUAUGUGGGGGAGGAGUGACUGAACAAAAUCUAAACAUCCCUGAAAUCAUAUUUGAGGAAACUAUACUCAAGCAGUAACAUGGAUUUGGAAACUCUUCUGGAAGAAGGCAGUGCACUGAGUAACACUCAUUGAGAGUGUAACUUGUGUUUAACGUCUAAGCUGGGCCCUAAAACAAAAUGGUAAAAAGGUUAUGGAUGUCCAUCAUCUGCAAUGUCUGCAACUUCAGAGUCAACUGCUGGUGUUACCAGCAGUGCUGCAAUUCAACUACAUCACACACUUGCUUUUCUUGAGACGCUUGCUUCCCAUUUUGUGGACACUCUCCUCUCCACUACCCCAAAUCUAGGCUCACUGAAGGCUGAGACCAAUAGUAAAGGAAAGCUAUAAUCAGCUAGAAAGAAAUGCGAAAGCAGGACUCGUCUCCCUGCAAGACCAACGCUGUUCAGAGUUGACUCAAGAUUGAAAAUAAGCAGCUUUUAAAAGCACCACUGAGGCUGCAGGUGGUUUUGGAUGGAGCUGCACCCACAGUCGAGCCCAAAUCUCCCUCUUUACAUACAGAUGAAUGGUAUCCAAUAUCUAAUGACUACAAAGACAUUUACUAACUGGUAUUAAACCUUACCUACUAAAGGAGCAACAUCAAGUACUGCGCCUCAUUGUUCAAUGUUGAAGAGAGCAUGUUCCUGGAGACUUCCCACCUCCACAAUCAAGAUUUGUUUUAUUUUAUUCAGUUUUCCAGUGACAACUUCUACAAUAAGCACGGAUAUGCAGAAACUUUCCCUAGUGGGAUACAGUCUCUUCCUGAUGCACCUAAGAACUAGAUCUUUAAACAGGUAUCCGCUAACAGCUUUUAAUGUGUAUGCGGUGAGUGUGAUAUUCAUCACUAUGAUCAGAUGAACAUGGCACUUCAGAGCAUGGAGACUGGGAAGUUGCUGUGCUGCAUAUCCAUGCAACAAACGGUGGUAGCUGGAUUCAUUCUGCAGCCGAACCUCUCUGCCUUUCAGAUAGUACACCAGAGACUUUUUUACUGGGGG